GGAGAGAUGGCAGAGUGGUCUAUCGCGGCGGUCUUGAAAACCGCUGAGGCGCAAGCCUCCGGGGGUUCGAAUCCCUCUCUCUCCGCCA
RNAcentral lists this transfer RNA (88 nucleotides) under Puniceicoccales bacterium. Its description in RNAcentral is "tRNA-Ser". It matches the Rfam family "tRNA". From Rfam's summary of the family: Transfer RNA (tRNA) molecules are approximately 80 nucleotides in length. The record is from RNAcentral. Lineage: Bacteria; Pseudomonadati; Verrucomicrobiota; Opitutia; Puniceicoccales.